GACGAACGCUGGCGGCGUGCUUAGCACAUGCAAGUCGAACGGAAAGGCCCUGCUUUUGUGGGGUGCUCGAGUGGCGAACGGGUGAGUAACACGUGAGUAACCUGCCCUUGACUUUGGGAUAACUUCAGGAAACUGGGGCUAAUACCGGAUAGGAGCUCCUGCUGCAUGGUGGGGGUUGGAAAGUUUCGGCGGUUGGGGAUGGACCCGCGGCUUAUCAGCUUGUUGGUGGGGUAGUGGCUUACCAAGGCUUUGACGGGUAGCCGGCCUGAGAGGGUGACCGGCCACAUUGGGACUGAGAUACGGCCCAGACUCCUACGGGAGGCAGCAGUGGGGAAUAUUGCACAAUGGGCGGAAGCCUGAUGCAGCAACGCCGCGUGCGGGAUGACGGCCUUCGGGUUGUAAACCGCUUUCGCCUGUGACGAAGCGUGAGUGACGGUAAUGGGUAAAGAAGCACCGGCUAACUACGUG
Molecule: ribosomal RNA, 468 nt
Filed under: uncultured bacterium
Lineage: Bacteria
Description: partial 16S ribosomal RNA
Rfam family: Bacterial small subunit ribosomal RNA
Source: RNAcentral